GGGGGGGGAGGGUAUGGUAUAAUAAAUCAAAUUGUCAUCACUGUUGGGUUUCUCGUCUGAAUAUUUUACAUUAACUGUGUCAGAUGCCUCAUUACAGGCUGAACCUUUUAUAGGGUGCUCAUUAUAAAGUUUUAGUUUUUGGUCAUUGUUGAAGGGUGUGCAGUGACCUAUUAUAUAGUGACUAACAAGUAAAUCACUUGGUCUACAUGGUUUAAAUGGUUGAUAGUCGUCUCACCAUAUCUCCUUAGGCCAAAAUAAAAAUUGUUUGUUUCCCCUCCCCACACCCAGGUAAAAAAUAAGCCCCCUGGGAUGGGAAACAGACAUUCUUUUAAAU
RNAcentral lists this long non-coding RNA (334 nucleotides) under Mytilus galloprovincialis (Mediterranean mussel). The record is from RNAcentral. Lineage: Eukaryota; Metazoa; Mollusca; Bivalvia; Mytilida; Mytilidae.